RNAcentral lists this ribosomal RNA (1063 nucleotides) under Lophiostoma caulium. Its description in RNAcentral is "SSU rRNA". It matches the Rfam family "Eukaryotic small subunit ribosomal RNA", at positions 50 to 1123 of the family's 1831-position model. Lineage: Eukaryota; Fungi; Ascomycota; Dothideomycetes; Pleosporales; Lophiostomataceae. The record is from RNAcentral.
CAUGCAUGUCUAAGUAUAAGCAAUUAUACCGUGAAACUGCGAAUGGCUCAUUAAAUCAGUUAUCGUUUAUUUGAUAGUACCUUACUACUUGGAUAACCGUGGUAAUUCUAGAGCUAAUACAUGCUGAAAACCCUGACUUCGGAAAGGGUGUAUUUAUUAGAUAAAAAACCAAUGCCCUUUGGGCUCUUUGGUGAUUCAUGAUAACUUAACGGAUCGCAUGGCCUUGCGCCGGCGACGGUUCAUUCAAAUUUCUGCCCUAUCAACUUUCGAUGGUAAGGUAUUGGCUUACCAUGGUUUCAACGGGUAACGGGGAAUUAGGGUUCGAUUCCGGAGAGGGAGCCUGAGAAACGGCUACCACAUCCAAGGAAGGCAGCAGGCGCGCAAAUUACCCAAUCCCGACACGGGGAGGUAGUGACAAUAAAUACUGAUACAGGGCUCUUUUGGGUCUUGUAAUCGGAAUGAGUACAAUUUAAAUACCUUAACGAGGAACAAUUGGAGGGCAAGUCUGGUGCCAGCAGCCGCGGUAAUUCCAGCUCCAAUAGCGUAUAUUAAAGUUGUUGCAGUUAAAAAGCUCGUAGUUGAACCUUGGGCCUGGCUGGCCGGUCCGCCUCACCGCGUGUACUGGUCUGGCCGGGCCUUUCCUUCUGGAGAACCUCAUGCCCUUCAGUGGGUGUGUUGGGGAACCAGGACUUUUACUUUGAAAAAAUUAGAGUGUUCAAAGCAGGCCUUUGCUCGAAUACGUUAGCAUGGAAUAAUAGAAUAGGACGUGCGGUCCUAUUUUGUUGGUUUCUAGGACCGCCGUAAUGAUUAAUAGGGAUAGUCGGGGGCAUCAGUAUUCAAUUGUCAGAGGUGAAAUUCUUGGAUUUAUUGAAGACUAACUACUGCGAAAGCAUUUGCCAAGGAUGUUUUCAUUAAUCAGUGAACGAAAGUUAGGGGAUCGAAGACGAUCAGAUACCGUCGUAGUCUUAACCGUAAACUAUGCCGACUAGGGAUCGGGCGAUGUUUCUAUCUUGACUCGCUCGGCACCUUACGAGAAAUCAAAGUUUUUGGGUUCUGGGGGGAG